UACGAAGGGGCUAGCGUUGCUCGGAAUCACUGGGCGUAAAGGGCGCGUAGGCGGCGUUUUAAGUCGGGGUGAAAGCCUGUGGCUCAACCACAGAAUGGCCCUUCGAUACUGGGACGCUUGAGUAUGGUAGAGGUUGGUGGAACUGCGAGUGUAGAGGUGAAAUUCGUAGAUAUUCGCAAGAACACCGGUGGCGAAGGCGGCCA
RNAcentral lists this ribosomal RNA (203 nucleotides) under uncultured bacterium. RNAcentral's name for it is "partial 16S ribosomal RNA". It matches the Rfam family "Bacterial small subunit ribosomal RNA", at positions 524 to 727 of the family's 1533-position model. The record is from RNAcentral.